UGCGCAGGUGGGAAUGUAAGUCAGUGGUGAAAUACUGCCGCUUAUCGGUAGAAUUGCCAUUGAUACUGCAUUUCUUGAGUAUGGUUGAGGUAGGCGGAAUGUGUCGUGUAGCGGUGAAAUGCAUAGAUAUGACACAGAACGCCGAUUGCGAAGGCAGCUUACUAAGCCAUUACUGACACUGAGGCACGAAAGCGUGGGGAGCGAACAGGAUUAGAUACCCUGGUAGUCC
Molecule: ribosomal RNA, 229 nt
Filed under: uncultured bacterium
Lineage: Bacteria
Description: partial 16S ribosomal RNA
Rfam family: Bacterial small subunit ribosomal RNA
Source: RNAcentral